UUGCUGGAUUUCACUUAUUUAUUCACUUAUUUUUGGUAAAUGCCAUGGUAACAUAUUAACAGCUUUUUUUGUAUAUUUGUUUUCAUUUUUCAGGAAGCAUCCCUGUAAGAAUUCCUCUGAAUUAUCUUCUCAUGCCAAGAUUAUACAGGUGAAUUAUAGUAAUAACCAGCUGUCAAACCAGAGCACAAAUGACAACUAGAUAGGUCAGUAUGGCACUACGCAUUAGCCUUAUAGCAUUACCUUGAUUAUAUUUGAAUUUAAUUGGGAA
This 268-nucleotide long non-coding RNA is filed under the name Monodelphis domestica (gray short-tailed opossum). Its description in RNAcentral is "lncRNA (ENSMODG00000047768.1)". The record is from RNAcentral. Lineage: Eukaryota; Metazoa; Chordata; Mammalia; Didelphimorphia; Didelphidae.